Molecule: RNA transcript, 1355 nt
Organism: Chenopodium quinoa (quinoa)
Lineage: Eukaryota; Viridiplantae; Streptophyta; Magnoliopsida; Caryophyllales; Amaranthaceae
Gene name: GATA transcription factor 18-like
Exons: 9
Source: RefSeq, a predicted model, not a curated record
UGGGGAGCAAAUUGGCAAAAAACUAACCGUUUUUAGCCGUUUUUUUGGCUUAUUAAGGAGCUAGAAUAAACGGUAACAUUACCGUUAGCCCGCGGGCCGUGAUUGCGGGCCGGCACGGCGGGCCAUGGCCGUGCUCGUGCCGGGCCGUGCCUGGGAAUUCUCAACCCUGUCCGUGGCACGGCCCGUGGCACGGGAGUUGAACUUCGUGCCGUGCCGUGCUUGAAUUGCCAACCCGGCCCGUGCCCAGGAACUACUAUUCUCGUCUCUUUCUCUCCAUAGCUCUCCUCCAUUGAAGCGCAUUCUGCUGAGCUUUCUCACCUCCAUUGAAGCGCAUUCUGCUGAGCUUUCCAACUCCAUUGUAGCAGCUUCGAGUUGAUAUUAUAUCAACUAUUGAAUUUGACAAGACUGGGGAUCACCUUGCUACUGGAGAUCGUGGGGGCCAGGUUGUUUUGUUUGAGAGAACCAACAGAAAGGGUCCUGGUGGACCUAGAAGAGAUCUUGUUAAUAGGCAUCCUGAGUUUCGCUAUCAGACUGAGUUUUAGAGCCAUGAACCAGAGUUUGAGUACCUAAAGAGUUUAGAGAUUAAGGAGAAAAUUAAUAAGAUCAGAUGGUGUGAGAUGGCUAAUGGCGCACUAUUUCUUCUUUCCACUAAUGACAAAACCAUCAAAUUCUGGAAGGUUUCGGGAGAAAAGAAAAGAGAGAUGUUUGGUAACAAAACAGGUAUACUAUACGAAAGGAGGUUGCUCAAAGGAUGCACCGCAAGAAUGGCCAAUUUGCAUCUUUGAGAGAAGGUUCAGCAUCUUUCAAUUUGGAAGCUAAAAAGAACUUAGUGGUUGGUAGAAGCCUGGGACCAGAAACUGUUUCAAACAAGUGCCAGCAUUGUGGUAUUAGUGAAAAUGAUACACCAGCAAUGCGACGCGGACCAGCUGGUCCGAGAACCUUGUGCAAUGCUUGCGGACUGAUGUGGGCCAACAAGAAAUCUUGUUGGAGCCGAUUUGGGUGGUGAAUUGGGGCAUAGGAUUAUUCACAUCUAUUAAAUCAAUUCUUGCAGUCUUUUAUUGUUGAUCUGCACGAGAAGUUGACUGGCAUUAGCAUCUAUGGUGCAGUUAUGGACAUCUCUCGAGAAGCAAAUACUGCAAAAUCUAUAUUCAAUAUGAAGAUUUAAGAUCCAACAGGAGCUAUUUAUGUAAAGCUGCAUUUAAUGAAUCUUGGUAUUACUAAUUUGAAGUUUCGAAAAAUGUUUCUUCGUUAGAGGAUCAAUUUGUUUGUUGAUUUCUUCAAUCAUGUUCUUCAGGUCUUUAGGGAGAUUGAGUCUUGAUCACACUGUGUACAUCUCUGGUUUGACAUGUGCCAAG